CUGCUAUACAUGCAAGUCGAACGAGUUCUCGUUGAUGAUCGGUGCUUGCACCGAGAUUCAACAUGGAACGAGUGGCGGACGGGUGAGUAACACGUGGGUAACCUGCCCUUAAGUGGGGGAUAACAUUUGGAAACAGAUGCUAAUACCGCAUAGAUCCAAGAACCGCAUGGUUCUUGGCUGAAAGAUGGCGUAAGCUAUCGCUUUUGGAUGGACCCGCGGCGUAUUAGCUAGUUGGUGAGGUAAUGGCUCACCAAGGCGAUGAUACGUAGCCGAACUGAGAGGUUGAUCGGCCACAUUGGGACUGAGACACGGCCCAAACUCCUACGGGAGGCAGCAGUAGGGAAUCUUCCACAAUGGACGCAAGUCUGAUGGAGCAACGCCGCGUGAGUGAAGAAGGCUUUCGGGUCGUAAAACUCUGUUGUUGGAGAAGAAUGGUCGGCAGAGUAACUGUUGUCGGCGUGACGGUAUCCAACCAGAAAGCCACGGCUAACUACGUGCCAGCAGCCGCGGUAAUACGUAGGUGGCAAGCGUUAUCCGGAUUUAUUGGGCGUAAAGCGAGCGCAGGCGGUUUUUUAAGUCUGAUGUGAAAGCCCUCGGCUUAACCGAGGAAGCGCAUCGGAAACUGGGAAACUUGAGUGCAGAAGAGGACAGUGGAACUCCAUGUGUAGCGGUGAAAUGCGUAGAUAUAUGGAAGAACACCAGUGGCGAAGGCGGCUGUCUGGUCUGUAACUGACGCUGAGGCUCGAAAGCAUGGGUAGCGAACAGGAUUAGAUACCCUGGUAGUCCAUGCCGUAAACGAUGAAUGCUAGGUGUUGGAGGGUUUCCGCUCUUCAGUGCCGCAGCUAACGCAUUAAGCAUUCCGCCUGGGGAGUACGACCGCAAGGUUGAAACUCAAAGGAAUUGACGGGGGCCCGCACAAGCGGUGGAGCAUGUGGUUUAAUUCGAAGCAACGCGAAGAACCUUACCAGGUCUUGACAUCUUUUGAUCACCUGAGAGAUCAGGUUUCCCCUUCGGGGGCAAAUGACAGGUGGUGCAUGGUUGUCGUCAGCUCGUGUCGUGAGAUGUUGGGUUAAGUCCCGCAACGAGCGCAACCCUUAUGACUAGUUGCCAGCAUUUAUUGGGC
This 1123-nucleotide ribosomal RNA is filed under the name Lacticaseibacillus paracasei. Its description in RNAcentral is "bacterial SSU rRNA". It matches the Rfam family "Bacterial small subunit ribosomal RNA", at positions 44 to 1136 of the family's 1533-position model. Lineage: Bacteria; Bacillati; Bacillota; Bacilli; Lactobacillales; Lactobacillaceae. The record is from RNAcentral.